Molecule: ribosomal RNA, 497 nt
Filed under: uncultured bacterium
Lineage: Bacteria
Description: partial 16S ribosomal RNA
Rfam family: Bacterial small subunit ribosomal RNA
Source: RNAcentral
GAUGAACGCUGGCGGCGUGCCUAAUACAUGCAAGUCGAGCGAACAGACGAGGAGCUUGCUCCUCUGACGUUAGCGGCGGACGGGUGAGUAACACGUGGAUAACCUACCUAUAAGACUGGGAUAACUUCGGGAAACCGGAGCUAAUACCGGAUAAUAUAUUGAACCGCAUGGUUCAAUAGUGAAAGACGGUUUUGCUGUCACUUAUAGAUGGAUCCGCGCCGCAUUAGCUAGUUGGUAAGGUAACGGCUUACCAAGGCAACGAUGCGUAGCCGACCUGAGAGGGGGAUCGGCCACACGGGAACUGAGACACGGUCCAGACGCCUACGGGAGGCAGCAGUAGGGAAUCUUCCGCAAUGGGCGAAAGCCUGACGGAGCAACGCCGCGUGAGUGAUGAAGGUCUUCGGAUCGUAAAAAUCUGUUAUUAGGGAAGAACAAAUGUGUAAGUAACUAUGCACGUCUUGACGGUACCUAAUCAGAAAGCCACGGCUAACUACGUG